GGGUCAGGAUGAUAGGUGAAAAUUCACCCUAUUUACCUCAGGACUCCGGAGCUUGUCAAUCAGUAUAUUUAUUCAACAAGAACAAUUGCAAUUGGGCUCACUCACAAAACAAGGAUGAAAGUGAAGCAAUGAUAAACACAUCGCACAAGGUUUAUAUAGACAGAAGUUGAGCGUUCAGCAGGGAUAACCACGUGGUGGAUUUCUGAUAUCCGAGGCAAGGAUGGAAGUUUUGCAAGGUCGGAAGAAGCACAGUUCGAACCUUCUUAUCACUUCUGGUCUAAACAUGCUCUUGUACAUAUGCAGACUAAGUGGCACCUAAUAAUCUAAGUUACACACACGCAGAAACACAGAAAAGCCAUGUUCCUGCUUACAUAAGUACAUGAUUCAUAUAAGGUCAUUAAUAAUACAAGGCACUUGAUUAUUAUAUUCUUAAGUCAUUAACCGUGUUUGGAAAUUAUCUCCAUCACAGGAUGUACAUCAUAAUGUAUAUCACAUCUCCCUGCAGCUGAUUUACACAAACAGAAAUACACACAGACACAGAGAGAAGUACACACACAUUGAGACACACAGACACAGACCAAUACACACACAUAGAGACACACAGACCAAUACACACACAUAGAUACAAUACACACAGACACAGACCAAUACACACACAGAGAUACACACACACACAGAGAGAAGUACACACACAGAGAUACACACACACACAGACCAAUACACACACAGAGAUGUGCCUCCAUAAGAGCAGCCGGGGUCAGACUGAGAACGUGGCAAAUUUACGGCGUUGUUCCAUCACCGCCUUGGCGUUGUGCAGUGUGUUAUUCGGCCAAUCAGAAUACUCGCAGUCUGACAGACAGAGAGAGCGAGAGAUGGAUGGCAGACAGGGAGAGAGAGAGAGAGAGGGAGAGAGAGGGAGAUGGAUGAGAGAGAGAGAGGGGGAGAGAGAGAGAGAGGGGGAGAGAGGGGGAGACAGAGAGAGAGGGAGAGAUGCAGUGAGAGAGAGAGAGGGAGAGAGAGGGAUGAGAGAGAGAGAGAGAGGGAUGGAUGAGAGGAAGUUGGGUGAAGAGAGCAGAGGGAAGAAAGGAGGAAAGAGUAAAAGAAUGAAAGAGUAAAAGAUUGGCAGAAAGAGUGGAAGAAAGAAAGAUAGAAGGAAAGAAAUAGUGAAAAGAGGGGAAGAAGCUGUGCUGUGGUGUCUCUGCAGCAUUAAAUGGAAGAAAUUUAAAUAUUACAGAGUGUACAACUAAAUAUUUGAUUAAUGGUCUUCUGGUUUGAGCUCCUGUUUGUGCCAGUGGAGGAGGAUUUCAAAGCAACUUGACAGAUAGGAAGAGACGGUACGCACACACACACACACACUCACACACACACACACACUCACACACUUAGACACACUUAGACACACACACACUUACACACACGCACACACUCACAGCCAAAGACCA
This is a long non-coding RNA of Clupea harengus (Atlantic herring), 1442 nucleotides long. The record is from Ensembl. NCBI's taxonomy places the organism in Eukaryota, Metazoa, Chordata, Actinopteri, Clupeiformes, Clupeidae.